GGGGAUGUCUUGGAUUCGACAGGUUUAUGUUUGACUUAGAUUGCAGUGGUUGGUCACCUAAAACCAAAUAAAAAUAACUGGAAACAGAUUAAGUUUCGCUGCUUAAUUAGCCAAUAGAGGCUUGCAGCCCCCAAACCGAUUGUGCCUAUACAAAAGGUAAGGUGUACAUUUAUAUAGGAUAAGGAAAACUAAUUGUCUAGUUAGUGACACGAAAAUAUCAUAGACAAAUUCAAUAGCGGUUGGCUUUUGACCAUUCUAUUGUCUUACUUAACGAAAAGCUAAACUGUAGACGUCUAAGUGUGGGACUAUUCUUGGACAGGGGUUCGAUACCCCUCAUCUCCACCA
RNAcentral lists this transfer-messenger RNA (345 nucleotides) under Erysipelotrichaceae. RNAcentral's name for it is "RQZE01 sp003858585 Standard tmRNA". It matches the Rfam family "transfer-messenger RNA". Rfam says of the family: Bacterial tmRNA, also known as 10Sa RNA or SsrA, is named for its dual tRNA and mRNA-like properties. Its role is to liberate the mRNA from a stalled ribosome. To accomplish this part of the tmRNA is used as a reading frame that ends in a translation stop signal. Lineage: Bacteria; Bacillati; Bacillota; Erysipelotrichia; Erysipelotrichales. RNAcentral also lists the same sequence under 1 other name. The record is from RNAcentral.